CAUAUCCCAAACCAUCACCAUAGCAACUGACUAAGUGCCAUGGACUUUCUGUAAAUGUAUGUCCUCUAGGUUACCAUCACCAGCACAUGAGAGAAUUCUCCUCUUCACCAGCUCAUUGACUCCUCUGCCUGAAACCAUCCCCUCCUGAUUGGUGAUUACCUUCCCAGUUCCAUGAUUUUAUGAGAGACCUCAGCUGUGGCAAACAAGCUAAGCCAGUUGGUCAGCUCCUGUCAGGUA
This 237-nucleotide long non-coding RNA is filed under the name Monodelphis domestica (gray short-tailed opossum). Its description in RNAcentral is "lncRNA (ENSMODG00000043468.1)". The record is from RNAcentral. Lineage: Eukaryota; Metazoa; Chordata; Mammalia; Didelphimorphia; Didelphidae.